RNAcentral lists this ribosomal RNA (497 nucleotides) under uncultured bacterium. Its description in RNAcentral is "partial 16S ribosomal RNA". It matches the Rfam family "Bacterial small subunit ribosomal RNA", at positions 28 to 507 of the family's 1533-position model. The record is from RNAcentral.
GACGAACGCUGGCGGCGUGCCUAAUACAUGCAAGUAGAACGCUGAAGCUUGGUGCUUGCACCGAGCGGAUGAGUUGCGAACGGGUGAGUAACGCGUAGGUAACCUGCCUGGUAGCGGGGGAUAACUAUUGGAAACGAUAGCUAAUACCGCAUAAGAGUAGAUGUUGCAUGACAUUUGCUUAAAAGGUGCAAUUGCAUCACUACCAGGUGGACCUGCGUUGUAUUAGCUAGUUGGUGAGGUAACGGCUCACCAAGGCAACGAUACAUAGCCGACCUGAGAGGGUGAUCGGCCACACUGGGACUGAGACACGGCCCAGACUCCUACGGGAGGCAGCAGUAGGGAAUCUUCGGCAAUGGACGGAAGUCUGACCGAGCAACGCCGCGUGAGUGAAGAAGGUUUUCGGAUCGUAAAGCUCUGUUGUAAGAGAAGAACGAGUGUGAGAGUGGAAAGUUCACACUGUGACGGUAUCUUACCAGAAAGGGACGGCUAACUACGUG